This 538-nucleotide ribosomal RNA is filed under the name Termitomyces le-testui. RNAcentral describes it as "eukaryotic LSU rRNA". It matches the Rfam family "Eukaryotic large subunit ribosomal RNA", at positions 52 to 589 of the family's 3401-position model. Lineage: Eukaryota; Fungi; Basidiomycota; Agaricomycetes; Agaricales; Lyophyllaceae. The record is from RNAcentral.
GGAGGAAAAGAAACUAACAAGGAUUCCCCUAGUAACUGCGAGUGAAGCGGGAAAAGCUCAAAUUUAAAAUCUGGUAGUCUUUGGCUGCCCGAGUUGUAAUCUAGAGAAGCAUUAUCCGCGCUGGACCGUGUACAAGUGUCCUGGAAUGGACUAUCAUAGAGGGUGAGAAUCCCGUCUUUGACACGGACUCCCAGGGCUUUGUGAUGUGCUCUCAAAGAGUCGAGUUGUUUGGGAAUGCAGCUCUAAAUGGGUGGUAAAUUCCAUCUAAAGCUAAAUAUUGGCGAGAGACCGAUAGCGAACAAGUACCGUGAGGGAAAGAUGAAAAGAACUUUGGAAAGAGAGUUAAACAGUACGUGAAAUUGCUGAAAGGGAAACGCUUGAAGUCAGUCGCGUUGGCUGGGGAUCAACCUUGCUUCUUGCUUGGCUUACUUCCCAGUUGACGGGUCAGCAUCAGUUUUGACCAGUGGAUAAAGGUUAGGGGAAUGUGGCACCUCCGGGUGUGUUAUAGCCCUUGAUCAUAUACAUUGGUUGGGACUGA